GGGGGGGGGGGGGGGGGGGGUGGGGGGGGGGGGGUGGGGGGGGGGGGGCCUUGGUUUGUGUGGGGGUCGAGUGGGUGACGGUGGAGUGGAACGUGAGUGAGCUUCACGUGCGUUUGUGGUAGCUUCAGGCAACUUGGGCUAAUACCGGGUAGAAGCUCCUGCUGCAUGGUUGGUGUUUGAAAGUUUCUGCGGUUUGGUAGGGAGUCGGGGCUUAUCAUCUUGUGGGGGGGGUAGUUGCUUACCAAGGCUUUGACGGUGAGCCGGACUGAGCGGGUGAGCGGCCACAUGGGGACGGAGAUACGCCCCAGACUCCUACGGGAGUCAGCAGUGGGGAAUAGUGCACAAUGGGCGGAAGCCUGAUGAAGCAACGCCGCGUGCGGGAGAACGGCCUUCGGGUUGUAAACCGCUUUCGCCUGUGACGAAGCUUGAGUGACGGUAAUGGGUAAAGAAGCACCGGCUAGCUACGUG
RNAcentral lists this ribosomal RNA (468 nucleotides) under uncultured bacterium. RNAcentral describes it as "partial 16S ribosomal RNA". It matches the Rfam family "Bacterial small subunit ribosomal RNA", at positions 38 to 507 of the family's 1533-position model. The record is from RNAcentral.